Small nuclear RNA from Pongo abelii (Sumatran orangutan), 60 nucleotides. The record is from Ensembl. NCBI's taxonomy places the organism in Eukaryota, Metazoa, Chordata, Mammalia, Primates, Hominidae.
GUGCUCACUUCGGAAGAACAUAUACUAAAAUUGGAAUGAUACAGAGAAGAUUAGCAUAGC